CUAAUACCGCAUACGUCCUGAGGGAGAAAGUGGGGGAUCUUCGGACCUCACGCUAUCAGAUGAGCCCUAGGUCGGAUUAGCUAGUUGGUGGGGUAAAGGCCUACCAAGGCGACGAUCCGUAACUGGUCUGAGAGGAUGAUCAGUCACACUGGAACUGAGACACGGGUCCAGACUCCUACGGGAGGCAGCAGUGGGGAAUAUUGGACAAUGGGCGAAAGCCUGAUCCAGCCAUGCCGCGUGUGUGAAGAAGGUCUUCGGAUUGUUAAAGCACUUUAAGUUGGGAGGAAGGGCAGUAAGUUAAUACCUUGCUGUUUUGACGUUACCAACAGAAUAAGCACCGGCUAACUUCUUGCCAGCAGCCGGCGGUAAUACGAAGGGUGCAAGCGUUAAUCGGAAUUACUGGGCGUAAAGCGCGCGUAGGUGGUUCAGCAAGUUGGAUGUGAAAUCCCCGGGCUCAACCUUGGGAACUGCAUCCAAAACUACUGAGCUAGAGUACGGUAGAGGGUGGUGGAAUUUCCUGUGUAGCGGUGAAAUGCGUAGAUAUAGGAAGGAACACCAGUUGGCGAAGGCGACCACCUGGACUGAUACUGACACUGAGGUGCGAAAGCGUGGGGAGCAAACAGGAUUAGAUAC
RNAcentral lists this ribosomal RNA (633 nucleotides) under Pseudomonas aeruginosa. RNAcentral's name for it is "bacterial SSU rRNA". It matches the Rfam family "Bacterial small subunit ribosomal RNA", at positions 163 to 785 of the family's 1533-position model. The record is from RNAcentral. Lineage: Bacteria; Pseudomonadati; Pseudomonadota; Gammaproteobacteria; Pseudomonadales; Pseudomonadaceae.